AGUGAACGCUGGCGGUAGGCCUAACACAUGCAAGUCGAACGGCAGCACAGUAAGAGCUUGCUCUUACGGGUGGCGAGUGGCGGACGGGUGAGGAAUACAUCGGAAUCUACUUUUUCGUGGGGGAUAACGUAGGGAAACUUACGCUAAUACCGCAUACGACCUACGGGUGAAAGCAGGGGAUCUUCGGACCUUGCGCGAUUGAAUGAGCCGAUGUCGGAUUAGCUAGUUGGCGGGGUAAAGGCCCACCAAGGCGACGAUCCGUAGCUGGUCUGCGAGCAUGCACACCCACGCUGGAAUCAAGACACGGUCCCGAGUCCUACGGGAUGCCCAAGCCGGGAACAUUCCACCCUGCGCGCAAGCCUGACCCAGCCCUCCCGCGUCGGUGAAGAAGGCCCUCGGGUUGUAGAGCCCUUUUCUUCUCAACGAAAACCGGCAUCUUACUCCCCCGCUGUUCCGCCGGUACCCAAAGAAUACGCACCGGCCACCCUCGUG
This 492-nucleotide ribosomal RNA is filed under the name uncultured bacterium. RNAcentral's name for it is "partial 16S ribosomal RNA". It matches the Rfam family "Bacterial small subunit ribosomal RNA", at positions 29 to 507 of the family's 1533-position model. The record is from RNAcentral.